Molecule: ribosomal RNA, 425 nt
Filed under: uncultured bacterium
Lineage: Bacteria
Description: bacterial SSU rRNA
Rfam family: Bacterial small subunit ribosomal RNA
Source: RNAcentral
GUGGGGAAUAUUGGACAAUGGGCGCAAGCCUGAUCCAGCCAUGCCGCGUGAGUGAUGAAGGCCCUAGGGUUGUAAAGCUCUUUCACCGGUGAAGAUAAUGACGGUAACCGGAGAAGAAGCCCCGGCUAACUUCGUGCCAGCAGCCGCGGUAAUACGAAGGGGGCUAGCGUUGUUCGGAAUUACUGGGCAUAAAGCGCACGUAGGCGGGUAUUUAAGUCAGGGGUGAAAUCCCGGAGCUCAACUCCGGAACUGCCUUUGAUACUGGGUACCUAGAGUAUGGAAGAGAUAAGUGGAAUUCCGAGUGUAGAGGUGAAAUUCGUAGAUAUUCGGAGGAACACCAGUGGCGAAGGCGGCUUACUGGUCCAUUACUGACGCUGAGGUGCGAAAGCGUGGGGAGCAAACAGGAUUAGAUACCCGAGUAGUCC